Molecule: ribosomal RNA, 505 nt
Filed under: uncultured bacterium
Lineage: Bacteria
Description: partial 16S ribosomal RNA
Rfam family: Bacterial small subunit ribosomal RNA
Source: RNAcentral
GACGAACGCUGGCGGCGUGCCUAAUACAUGCAAGUAGAACGCACAGUUUAUACCGUAGCUUGCUACACCAUAGACUGUGAGUUGCGAACGGGUGAGUAACGCGUAGGUAACCUGCCUGGUAGCGGGGGAUAACUAUUGGAAACGAUAGCUAAUACCGCAUAAUAUUAAUUAUUGCAUGAUAAUUAAUUGAAAGGUGCAAUUGCACCACUACCAGAUGGACCUGCUUUGUAUUAGCUAGUAGGUGAGGUAACGGCUCACCUAGGCGACGAUACAUAGCCGACCUGAGAGGGUGAUCGGCCACACUGGGACUGAGACACGGCCCAGACUCCUACGGGAGGCAGCAGUAGGGAAUCUUCGGCAAUAGACGAAAGUCUGACCGAGCAACGCCGCGUGAGUGAAGAAGGUUUUCGGAUCGUAAAGCUCUGUUGUAAGAGAAGAACGGGUGUGAGAGUGGAAAGUUCACACUGUGACGGUAUCUUACCAGAAAGGGACGGCUAACUACGUG